UACAAGCCAUCUGACUUGGGACUAAUAAU
This 29-nucleotide non-coding RNA is filed under the name Mus musculus (house mouse). Lineage: Eukaryota; Metazoa; Chordata; Mammalia; Rodentia; Muridae. The record is from RNAcentral.